This 72-nucleotide transfer RNA is filed under the name Porphyromonadaceae bacterium. RNAcentral describes it as "tRNA-Arg". It matches the Rfam family "tRNA". From Rfam's summary of the family: Transfer RNA (tRNA) molecules are approximately 80 nucleotides in length. Their secondary structure includes four short double-helical elements and three loops (D, anti-codon, and T loops). Lineage: Bacteria; Pseudomonadati; Bacteroidota; Bacteroidia; Bacteroidales; Porphyromonadaceae. The record is from RNAcentral.
GUUCUUGUAGUUCAAUGGAUAGAACUUCGGUUUCCUAAACCGACAAUCCGGGUUCGAUUCCCGGCGAGAAUA